GUGAGGAAUAUUGGUCAAUGGCCGGAAGGCUGAACCAGCCAUCCCGCGUGCAGGAUGACGGCCCUAUGGGUUGUAAACUGCUUUUGUACCUGAAGAAACCUGGUUACGUGUAACCAGUUGCCGGUAAGGUAUGAAUAAGCAUCGGCUAACUCCGUGCCAGCAGCCGCGGUAAUACGGAGGAUGCAAGCGUUAUCCGGAUUCAUUGGGUUUAAAGGGUGCGCAGGUGGGAAAAUAAGUCAGUGGUGAAAUACUGCCGCUUAACGGUAGAAUUGCCAUUGAUACUGUUUUUCUUGAGUAUGGUUGAGGUAGGUGGAAUGUGUUGUGUAGCGGUGAAAUGCAUAGAUAUGACACAGAACGCCGAUUGCGAAGGCAGCUUACUAAGCCAUUACUGACGCUGAGGCACGAAAGCGUGGGGAUCAAACAGGAUUAGAUACCCGGGUAGUCC
Molecule: ribosomal RNA, 445 nt
Filed under: uncultured bacterium
Lineage: Bacteria
Description: bacterial SSU rRNA
Rfam family: Bacterial small subunit ribosomal RNA
Source: RNAcentral